ACCUUCGGGCCUCUUGCCAUCAGAUGUGCCCAGAUGGGAUUAGCUUGUUGGUGAGGUAACGGCUCACCAAGGCGACGAUCCCUAGCUGGUCUGAGAGGAUGACCAGCCACACUGGAACUGAGACACGGUCCAGACUCCUACGGGAGGCAGCAGUGGGGAAUAUUGCACAAUGGGCGCAAGCCUGAUGCAGCCAUGCCGCGUGUAUGAAGAAGGCCUUCGGGUUGUAAAGUACUUUCAGCGGGGAGGAAGGUGUUGUGGUUAAUAACCGCAGCAAUUGACGUUACCCGCAGAAGAAGCACCGGCUAACUCCGUGCCAGCAGCCGCGGUAAUACGGAGGGUGCAAGCGUUAAUCGGAAUUACUGGGCGUAAAGCGCACGCAGGCGGU
Molecule: ribosomal RNA, 385 nt
Filed under: Salmonella enterica subsp. enterica
Lineage: Bacteria; Pseudomonadati; Pseudomonadota; Gammaproteobacteria; Enterobacterales; Enterobacteriaceae
Description: bacterial SSU rRNA
Rfam family: Bacterial small subunit ribosomal RNA
Source: RNAcentral